AAGUCGUAACAAGGUUUCCGUAGGUGAACCUGCGGAAGGAUCAUUAUUGAUGUUUUUGGAUAUGAAAGAUUGUGAAAUGGUGAGCAGGGGGUGGAGCAAGGGGAGAUUCCAUGCAGAAUGCAGGGGGAGAACCCAUGAUGCAUACACACACACGCACACACACAAGAACGAUUAUGGGGAUGUAGAAAAGAAAAAAAAGUGGUUUUGAUUGAUUGAUAAACCACAAAAAACAAAAACAAAUACAACUUUUAACAAUGGAUCUCUAGGCUCUU
This 272-nucleotide unclassified non-coding RNA is filed under the name fungal sp. Its description in RNAcentral is "partial internal transcribed spacer region". The stretch from base 1 to 46 matches the Rfam family "Eukaryotic small subunit ribosomal RNA", at positions 1786 to 1831 of the family's 1831-position model. Lineage: Eukaryota; Fungi. The record is from RNAcentral.